Molecule: ribosomal RNA, 294 nt
Filed under: uncultured Bifidobacteriales bacterium
Lineage: Bacteria; Bacillati; Actinomycetota; Actinomycetes; Bifidobacteriales
Description: partial 16S ribosomal RNA
Rfam family: Bacterial small subunit ribosomal RNA
Source: RNAcentral
CAGCAGCCGCGGGUAUACGUAGGGCGCAAGCGUUAUCCGGAUUUAUUGGGCGUAAAGGGCUCGUAGGCGGCUCGUCGCGUCCGGUGUGAAAGUCCAUCGCUUAACGGUGGAUCUGCGCCGGGUACGGGCGGGCUGGAGUGCGGUAGGGGAGACUGGAAUUCCCGGUGUAACGGUGGAAUGUGUAGAUAUCGGGAAGAACACCGAUGGCGAAGGCAGGUCUCUGGGCCGUCACUGACGCUGAGGAGCGAAAGCGUGGGGAGCGAACAGGAUUAGAUACCCUGGUAGUCAAGGGCG